GGGGGGGGCUGGGGGUGGGGCGAACAGGUGCAGGUCGGGCGGGGGCGCAGUAAGGGCUUGCUCUUGGGGGUGGCGGGUGGGGGACGGGUGAGGACUACCUCGGAGUGUAGUUUUUCGGGGGGGGUACCGUGGGGAACCUUACGCUCAUACCGCAUACGACCUACGGUUGGAAGCAGGGGAGCUUCGGACCUUGCGCGGUUGAAUGAGCCGAUGUCGGAUUAGCUAUUUGGCGUGGUAAAGGCCCAACAAGGCGACGAUCCGUAGCUGGUCUGAGAGGAUGAUCACCCACACUGGAACUGAGACACGGUCCAGAAUCCUACGGGAGGCAGCAGUGGGGAAUAUUGGACAAUGGGCGCAAGCCUGAUCCAGCCAUACCGCGUGGGUGAAGAAGGCCUUCGGGCUGUAAAGCCCUUUUGUUGGGAAAGAAAAGCAGCAGGUUAAUACCCCGCUGUUCUGACGGUACCCAAAGAAUAAGCACCGGCUAACUUCGUG
RNAcentral lists this ribosomal RNA (492 nucleotides) under uncultured bacterium. RNAcentral describes it as "partial 16S ribosomal RNA". It matches the Rfam family "Bacterial small subunit ribosomal RNA", at positions 35 to 507 of the family's 1533-position model. The record is from RNAcentral.